CGCGUAGGCGGUUUACACAGUCAGAUGUGAAAUUCCAGGGCUUAACCUUGGGGCUGCAUUUGAUACGUGUAGACUAGAGUGUGAGAGAGGGUUGUGGAAUUCCCAGUGUAGAGGUGAAAUUCGUAGAUAUUGGGAAGAACACCGGUGGCGAAGGCAGCCCCCUGGACAGUGACUGACGCUCAUAUGCGAAAGCGUGGGGAUCAAACAGGAUUAGAUACCCCUGUA
RNAcentral lists this ribosomal RNA (225 nucleotides) under uncultured Asaia sp. Its description in RNAcentral is "partial 16S ribosomal RNA". It matches the Rfam family "Bacterial small subunit ribosomal RNA", at positions 568 to 792 of the family's 1533-position model. The record is from RNAcentral. Lineage: Bacteria; Pseudomonadati; Pseudomonadota; Alphaproteobacteria; Acetobacterales; Acetobacteraceae.